This 337-nucleotide unclassified non-coding RNA is filed under the name soil metagenome. RNAcentral's name for it is "partial contains 5.8S ribosomal RNA, internal transcribed spacer 2, and large subunit ribosomal RNA". The stretch from base 1 to 120 matches the Rfam family "5.8S ribosomal RNA", at positions 35 to 154 of the family's 154-position model. The record is from RNAcentral.
GAUGAAGAACGCAGCGAAAUGCGAUAAGUAAUGUGAAUUGCAGAAUUCAGUGAAUCAUCGAAUCUUUGAACGCACAUUGCGCCCCUUGGUAUUCCGAGGGGCAUGCCUGUUCGAGCGUCAUUACACCACUCAAGCUAUGCUUGGUAUUGGGCGUCGUCCUUAGUUGGGCGCGCCUUAAAGACCUCGGCGAGGCCACUCCGGCUUUAGGCGUAGUAGAAUUUAUUCGAACGUCUGUCAAAGGAGAGGAACUCUGCCGACUGAAACCUUUAUUUUUCUAGGUUGACCUCGGAUCAGGUAGGGAUACCCGCUGAACUUAAGCAUAUCAAUAAGCGGAGGA